UUCCCGGCGCCUGCGCGGCCGCUCCGGCCCCUAGAGCCGCGGGCGGGCGUUGGCGCUGGGUGUCCGGGGCCCCCGGGCCGCCCCCUCCCCGGCGCGGGGCUCCCGCUCGCCGCAUCCCGGAGGUGGCGGGGCGGCGGCAGCAGCGAGCGCUGCCCCGGCCGGGCCGCCCGGCCCCAGGACUGCAGUGUUCAAUUUUGUCUACUGAAAGGUGCAAAGCAAACAUCUCUGAAUCAGAACUUUUCCCCAAAUGCACAGCUAAAGUGAACUUUCUGUGUUUGACCAGGCAUUGAGACCCCUGACGCCCCAUAAUUCAAGAAUCCCUUGACCUGGCUAAACAACCCCCCCCCCCCCCAAAGAUCAAAUACAGCUUCCUCAUGCCAAGCUCAAAGUUGAAGGAUUAGCAGGGAGUCCAAGACAAACAUGAAGAGAUGGAGAAAUCACAUUUUCCAUUCAAGCCCCUGAAGGAUUCUUUUUCUAGAGUGCUGGAGAAGUGUAAGGCAGCUACUGAAAAGCAAGAGGAAAACCAAACAAAAGCCUUCAGAAGCGCAUUUCUGAUACAAAAAAGCCA
Long non-coding RNA from Dromaius novaehollandiae (emu), 568 nucleotides. RefSeq lists it as uncharacterized. The transcript is spliced from 2 exons. The record is from RefSeq and is a predicted model, not a curated record. Lineage: Eukaryota; Metazoa; Chordata; Aves; Casuariiformes; Dromaiidae.